GCACUUGGAUGAUGUAUGGCAAUAGCUGGUUGCAUUAACAAAAAGUUAGUGUAAGAUCGACUCUGUCGAAUAAAAUUCUAGAUAGAAUUAUGAUAAUGACAUUAUCUAUCUAUGUGUCUUGACCAAAUUACGUGCCAGCAGUCGCGGUAAUACGUAAAAGACUAGUGUUAUUCAUCUUUAAUAGGUUUAAAGUGUACUUAGACGGUAGAUAAAGCCCGAACAGGGAACUAAUAUACUAGAGUUUGAUGUAAGGAAGCAUUAAAGUACUGUUGGUGUAGAGAUAAAAUUCUAUUAUACCAAAUAUGGCACAGGUUUAGGCGAAAGCAUCUUCUUAUGUAAUAACUGACGUUGAAGGACGAAGGCUUUGUGUCUCGAACAGGAUUAGAUACCCCAGUAGUCUAAGCAGACAAUGAUGAAUGUCAUAGAUUCGAUUUAAUUAAAUUUUUUCUAUAAAUGAAAGUGUAAGCAUUCCACCUCAAGAGUAAUUUGGCAACAUUGGAACUGAAAUCAUUAGACCGUUUCUGAAACCAGUAGUGAAGUAUGUUGUUUAAUUAGAAGAUACGCAAAAAACCUUACCACAAUUUGAAUUAGUAAUAUGUUUUCACAAGCGUUGCACGGCUGUCUACAGUUAAUGUCGUGAGAUUUUGGUUAGUUCCAUUAAAUUAACGCAAACCCUUACAUUAUUUUUAAUAUAAAGUAGUUCACCGCCAGAUUGGAUAUGAUAAAAGGGAACAAGACAAGUCAUCAUGGCCUUAAUAUUGUGG
This 764-nucleotide ribosomal RNA is filed under the name Lecidea sp. 4 UR-2019. Its description in RNAcentral is "SSU rRNA". It matches the Rfam family "Bacterial small subunit ribosomal RNA", at positions 397 to 1212 of the family's 1533-position model. Lineage: Eukaryota; Fungi; Ascomycota; Lecanoromycetes; Lecideales; Lecideaceae. The record is from RNAcentral.